UACGUAGGGUGCAAGCGUUAAUCGGAAUUACUGGGCGUAAAGCGUGCGCAGGCGGUUUUGUAAGUCUGUCGUGAAAUCCCCGGGCUCAACCUGGGAAUGGCGAUGGAGACUGCAAGGCUAGAGUUUGGCAGAGGGGGGUAGAAUUCCACGUGUAGCAGUGAAAUGCGUAGAGAUGUGGAGGAACACCGAUGGCGAAGGCAGCCCCCUGGGUCAAAACUGACGCUCAUGCACGAAAGCGUGGGGAGUAAACAGG
Molecule: ribosomal RNA, 253 nt
Filed under: uncultured bacterium
Lineage: Bacteria
Description: partial 16S ribosomal RNA
Rfam family: Bacterial small subunit ribosomal RNA
Source: RNAcentral